RNAcentral lists this ribosomal RNA (1349 nucleotides) under uncultured bacterium. RNAcentral's name for it is "partial 16S ribosomal RNA". It matches the Rfam family "Bacterial small subunit ribosomal RNA", at positions 28 to 1381 of the family's 1533-position model. The record is from RNAcentral.
GACGAACGCUUGUGCGGCGAUGCUUAACACAUGCAAGUCGAACGGAAAGGCCCUGCUUUUGUGGGGUGCUCGAGUGGCGAACGGGUGAGUAACACGUGAGUAACCUGCCCUUGACUUUGGGAUAACUUCAGGAAACUGGGGCUAAUACCGGAUAGGAGCUCCUGCUGCAUGGUGGGGGUUGGAAAGUUUCGGCGGUUGGGGAUGGACUCGCGGCUUAUCAGCUUGUUGGUGGGGUAGUGGCUUACCAAGGCUUUGACGGGUAGCCGGCCUGAGAGGGUGACCGGCCACAUUGGGACUGAGAUACGGCCCAGACUCCUACGGGAGGCAGCAGUGGGGAAUAUUGCACAAUGGGCGGAAGCCUGAUGCAGCAACGCCGCGUGCGGGAUGACGGCCUUCGGGUUGUAAACCGCUUUCGCCUGUGACGAAGCGUGAGUGACGGUAAUGGGUAAAGAAGCACCGGCUAACUACGUGCCAGCAGCCGCGGUGAUACGUAGGGUGCGAGCGUUGUCCGGAUUUAUUGGGCGUAAAGGGCUCGUAGGUGGUUGAUCGCGUCGGAAGUGUAAUCUUGGGGCUUAACCCUGAGCGUGCUUUCGAUACGGGUUGACUUGAGGAAGGUAGGGGAGAAUGGAAUUCCUGGUGGAGCGGUGGAAUGCGCAGAUAUCAGGAGGAACACCAGUGGCGAAGGCGGUUCUCUGGGCCUUUCCUGACGCUGAGGAGCGAAAGCGUGGGGAGCGAACAGGCUUAGAUACCCUGGUAGUCCACGCUGUAAACGGUGGGUACUAGGUGUGGGGUCCAUUCCACGGGUUCCGUGCCGUAGCUAACGCUUUAAGUACCCCGCCUGGGGAGUACGGCCGCAAGGCUAAAACUCAAAGGAAUUGACGGGGCCCCGCACAAGCGGCGGAGCAUGCGGAUUAAUUCGAUGCAACGCGUAGAACCUUACCUGGGUUUGACAUGGAUCGGGAGUGCUCAGAGAUGGGUGUGCCUCUUUUGGGGUCGGUUCACAGGUGGUGCAUGGCUGUCGUCAGCUCGUGUCGUGAGAUGUUGGGUUAAGUCCCGCAACGAGCGCAACCCUUGUUCACUGUUGCCAGCACGUUAUGGUGGGGACUCAGUGGAGACCGCCGGGGUCAACUCGGAGGAAGGUGGGGAUGACGUCAAGUCAUCAUGCCCCUUAUGUCCAGGGCUUCACGCAUGCUACAAUGGCUGGUACAGAGAGUGGCGAGCCUGUGAGGGUGAGCGAAUCUCGGAAAGUCGGUCUCAGUUCGGAUUGGGGUCUGCAACUCGACCUCAUGAAGUCGGAGUCGCUAGUAAUCGCAGAUCAGCAACGCUGCGGUGAAUACGUUCCCGGGGCU